RNAcentral lists this ribosomal RNA (489 nucleotides) under uncultured bacterium. RNAcentral describes it as "partial 16S ribosomal RNA". It matches the Rfam family "Bacterial small subunit ribosomal RNA", at positions 28 to 507 of the family's 1533-position model. The record is from RNAcentral.
GACGAACGCUGGCGGCGUGCUUAACACAUGCAAGUCGAACGGAAAGGCCCCCACCUUGGUGGAGGUGCUCGAGUGGCGCACGGGUGAGUAACACGUGGGCGAUCUGCCCCGUACUUCGAGACCAGCUUGGGAAACUCGGUCACAUACCGGAUAGGAUCAUGGUUUAGUGUCUUAUGGUGGAAAAAUUAUUGUUUUGGUGCAGGAUGCGCUCGAGCCCGCUCAGCUGGUAGGUGGCGUGAUUGCCUACCAAGGCGUCGACGGGUAGCCGGCCUGAGAGCAUGCGCGCCCACAGUGGGACCGAGAUACGUGGCAGCCACGUACGGGCGACAGCAGUAGGGAAGGUUGCACGAUGGACGCAAGCCUGAUGGGGCGAAGCCGCGUGAGGGAAGACGGCCUUCGGGAUGUAAGCUCCUUUCGUUAAAGACGAUUCCGCACCUUUGUUGGGUGUGGGUGCGGUUCCUUGGUUAAGAAGCACCGGCUAACUACGUG